This 493-nucleotide long non-coding RNA is filed under the name Homo sapiens (human). RNAcentral's name for it is "HSALNT0321602". The record is from RNAcentral. Lineage: Eukaryota; Metazoa; Chordata; Mammalia; Primates; Hominidae.
UUGACAUGACCUCCUUGGAACAUUCAGACUGGUAAGAGAAAAGAAUUAAACAUCAAAUCUUCCCUCAGGGACUCCAGAUAAGAGCCCAGGCCAAAGGACACCUUGAUUUUGACCUUGUCAGACCUGGAGUUGAAAAACCAGCUGCACCCUUCUAGAAUUCUUACUUACAAAACUGGAGAUGUUACAAGACAAGAUGAUUUCACUGGAAGCUGAGUUUUGCCAGCUUUGGGGAAAUGCUGAUGCAGAACAUCAUUUAUUUAAGGCUGAUACUCAUGGAUAGAAGAGUCAAAGUGCGAAUAUAUGCACCCUUCUAUACGGAUUCUGCAGAAAGAUAUGCUUGGGUCAUGACUCAGCUAUUUACAAAGUUGCUGGUGACUAAUUGCUGGAAAGAAGCUGGGACGUUCUGUGGCCCCUCCAUUUUAUAUCCCCUCCCUUUGGUUCUCUAGGAAAUUGAGUUCAGGAAAGCUACCAGGAAUAAAACUCUUACUUUUUA